This 65-nucleotide transfer RNA is filed under the name Dipodomys ordii (Ord's kangaroo rat). It matches the Rfam family "tRNA". Rfam says of the family: Transfer RNA (tRNA) molecules are approximately 80 nucleotides in length. Their secondary structure includes four short double-helical elements and three loops (D, anti-codon, and T loops). Further hydrogen bonds mediate the characteristic L-shaped molecular structure. tRNAs have two regions of fundamental functional importance: the anti-codon, which is responsible for specific mRNA codon recognition, and the 3' end, to which the tRNAs corresponding amino acid is attached (by aminoacyl-tRNA synthetases). tRNAs cope with the degeneracy of the genetic code in two manners: having more than one tRNA (with a specific anti-codon) for a particular amino acid; and 'wobble' base-pairing, i.e. permitting non-standard base-pairing at the 3rd anti-codon position. Lineage: Eukaryota; Metazoa; Chordata; Mammalia; Rodentia; Heteromyidae. The record is from Rfam by way of RNAcentral.
GGUGGCUCAGUGCUAGAGUGCUUGCCUUGCAUGUAUGAGGCCCUGGGUUCGAUUCCCCAGCACCA